This 250-nucleotide ribosomal RNA is filed under the name uncultured bacterium. RNAcentral's name for it is "partial 16S ribosomal RNA". It matches the Rfam family "Bacterial small subunit ribosomal RNA", at positions 524 to 773 of the family's 1533-position model. The record is from RNAcentral.
UACGGAGGAUGCGAGCGUUAUCCGGAUUUAUUGGGUUUAAAGGGUGCGUAGGCGGAAUAAUAAGUCAGUGGUGAAACCCUGCAGCUUAACUGUAGACUUGCCAUUGAUACUGUUUUUCUUGAGUAUGGUCAAGGCAGGCGGAAUGUGUAAUGUAGCGGUGAAAUGCUUAGAUAUUACACAGAACACCGAUAGCGAAGGCAGCUUGCUGGGCCGUUACUGACGCUGAUGCACGAAAGCGUGGGGAUCGAAC